RNAcentral lists this ribosomal RNA (497 nucleotides) under uncultured bacterium. RNAcentral's name for it is "partial 16S ribosomal RNA". It matches the Rfam family "Bacterial small subunit ribosomal RNA", at positions 28 to 507 of the family's 1533-position model. The record is from RNAcentral.
GACGAACGCUGGCGGCGUGCCUAAUACAUGCAAGUUGAGCGCUGAAGGUUGGUACUUGUACCAACUGGAUGAGCAGCGAACGGGUGAGUAACGCGUGGGGAAUCUGCCUUUGAGCGGGGGACAACAUUUGGAAACGAAUGCUAAUACCGCAUAAAAACUUUAAACACAAGUUUUAAGUUUGAAAGAUGCAAUUGCAUCACUCAAAGAUGAUCCCGCGUUGUAUUAGCUAGUUGGUGAGGUAAAGGCUCACCAAGGCGAUGAUACAUAGCCGACCUGAGAGGGUGAUCGGCCACAUUGGGACUGAGACACGGCCCAAACUCCUACGGGAGGCAGCAGUAGGGAAUCUUCGGCAAUGGACGAAAGUCUGACCGAGCAACGCCGCGUGAGUGAAGAAGGGUUUCGGAUCGUAAAACUCGGUUGGUAGAGAAGACCGUUGGUGAGAGUGGAAAGCUCAUCAAGUGACGGUAACUACCCAGAAAGGGACGGCUAACUACGUG